GGAAUUUUGCGCAAUGGGCUAACGCCUGACGCAGCAACGCCGCGUGGAGGAUGAAGGUCUUUGGAUUGUAAACUCCUGUCAGCAGGGAAAAAGGGAAGGGACCUAAUACGUCCUUGACUUGAUUGUACCUGCAGAGGAAGCCCCGGCUAACUACGUGCCAGCAGCCGCGGUAAUACGUAGGGGGCAAGCGUUGUCCGGAUUUACUGGGCGUAAAGAGCGUGUAGGCGGCCAUGCAGGUCCGUUGUGAAAACUGGAGGCUCAACCUCCAGACGUCGACGGAAACCGUGUGGCUAGAGUCCGGAAGAGGAGAGUGGAAUUCCUGGUGUAGCGGUGAAAUGCGCAGAUAUCAGGAAGAACACCAAUGGCGAAGGCAGCUCUCUGGGACGGUACUGACGCUGAGACGCGAAAGCGUGGGGAGCAAAC
Molecule: ribosomal RNA, 423 nt
Filed under: uncultured bacterium
Lineage: Bacteria
Description: bacterial SSU rRNA
Rfam family: Bacterial small subunit ribosomal RNA
Source: RNAcentral